AGUGAACGCUGGCGGUAGGCCUAACACAUGCAAGUCGAACGGCAGCACAGUAAGAGCUUGCUCUUACGGGUGGCGAGUGGCGGGCGGGUGAGGAAUACAUCGGAAUCUACUUUUUCGUGGGGGAUAACGUAGGGAAACUUACGCUAAUACCGCAUACGACCUACGGGUGAAAGCAGGGGAUCUUCGGACCUUGCGCAAUUGAAUGAGCCGAUGUCGGAUUAGCUAGUUGGCGGGGUAAAGGCCCACCAAGGCGACGAUCCGUAGCUGGUCUGAGAGGAUGAUCAGCCACACUGGAACUGAGACACGGUCCAGACUCCUACGGGAGGCAGCAGUGGGGAAUAUUGGACAAUGGGCGCAAGCCUGAUCCAGCCAUACCGCGUGGGUGAAGAAGGCCUUCGGGUUGUAAAGCCCUUUUGUUGGGAAAGAAAAGCAGCAGGUUAAUACCCCGCUGUUCUGACGGUACCCAAAGAAUAAGCACCGGCUAACUUCGUG
RNAcentral lists this ribosomal RNA (492 nucleotides) under uncultured bacterium. RNAcentral describes it as "partial 16S ribosomal RNA". It matches the Rfam family "Bacterial small subunit ribosomal RNA", at positions 29 to 507 of the family's 1533-position model. The record is from RNAcentral.